GAUGAACGCUGGCGGCGUGCCUAAUACAUGCAAGUAGAACGCUGAAGCUUGGUGCUUGCACCGAGCGGAUGAGUUGCGAACGGGUGAGUAACGCGUAGGUAACCUGCCUCUUAGCGGGGGAUAACUAUUGGAAACGAUAGCUAAUACCGCAUAAAAGUCGACAUCGCAUGAUGUUGACUUGAAAGGUGCAAUUGCAUCACUAAGAGAUGGACCUGCGUUGUAUUAGCUAGUUGGUGAGGUAACGGCUCACCAAGGCGACGAUACAUAGCCGACCUGAGAGGGUGCUCGGCCACUCUCGGCGUGAGACUCCGCCCGGACUCCUACGGGAGGCAGCAGUAGUGUAUCUUCGGCAACGGGGGCAACCCUGACCGCGCUAGGCCGCGUGAGUGAAGGAGGUUUUCGGAUCGUAAAGCUCUGUUGUUGGAGAAGAACGAGUUUGAAAGUGGAAAGUUCCCACUGUGGCGGUAACUUACCAGAAUGCCACGGCUAACUACGUG
Molecule: ribosomal RNA, 497 nt
Filed under: uncultured bacterium
Lineage: Bacteria
Description: partial 16S ribosomal RNA
Rfam family: Bacterial small subunit ribosomal RNA
Source: RNAcentral